CGGCACGGGUGAGUAACACGUAUCCAACCUGCCGUCUACUCUUGGACAGCCUUCUGAAAGGAAGAUUAAUACAAGAUGGCAUCAUGAGUUCACAUGUUCACAUGAUUAAAGGGUAUUCCGGUAGACGAUGGGGAUGCGUUCCAUUAGAUAGUAGGCGGGGUAACGGCCCACCUAGUCUUCGAUGGAUAGGGGUUCUGAGAGGAAGGUCCCCCACAUUGGAACUGAGACACGGUCCAA
This 237-nucleotide ribosomal RNA is filed under the name uncultured bacterium. RNAcentral describes it as "partial 16S ribosomal RNA". It matches the Rfam family "Bacterial small subunit ribosomal RNA", at positions 100 to 334 of the family's 1533-position model. The record is from RNAcentral.